CAAUAGCGUAUAUUAAAGUUGUUGCAGUUAGAACGCUCGUAGUCGGAUUUCGGGGCGGGCCGACCGGUCUGCCGAUGGGUACGCACUGGUCGGCGCGUCCUUCCUUCCGGAGACCGUGCCUACUCUUAACUGAGCGGGGGCGGGAGACGGAUCGUUUACUUUGAAAAAAUCAGAGUGUUUCAAGCAGGCAGCUCGCUCUUGCAUGGAUUAGCAUGGGAUAAUGAAAUAGGACUUUGGUGCUAUUUUGUUGGUUUCGAACACCGAAGUAAUGAUUAAAAGGGACAGUCAGGGGCACUCGUAUUCCGCCGAGAGAGGUGAAAUUCUCAGACCAGCGGAAGACGAACCACUGCGAAAGCAUUUGCCAGGGAUGUUUNCACUG
RNAcentral lists this ribosomal RNA (379 nucleotides) under uncultured eukaryote. RNAcentral's name for it is "partial 18S ribosomal RNA". It matches the Rfam family "Eukaryotic small subunit ribosomal RNA", at positions 592 to 975 of the family's 1831-position model. The record is from RNAcentral.